GCCGGGGCUUCUUCUCUGGCUACCGUCAUCAUCUUCACCAGUGAAAGCGCUUUACAACCCUAAGGCCUUCUUCACGCACGCGGCAUGGCUGGAUCAGGGUUGCCCCCAUUGUCCAAUAUUCCCC
Molecule: ribosomal RNA, 124 nt
Filed under: uncultured bacterium
Lineage: Bacteria
Description: partial 16S ribosomal RNA
Source: RNAcentral